This 492-nucleotide ribosomal RNA is filed under the name Triticum aestivum (bread wheat). RNAcentral's name for it is "partial small subunit ribosomal RNA". The record is from RNAcentral. Lineage: Eukaryota; Viridiplantae; Streptophyta; Magnoliopsida; Poales; Poaceae.
AUGGCGGCUGCCACAACGGCGGCGACGACGGUGGCGGGGAAGCUCCCAUUCCCGCUGCUCACGAGGACGAACUACGCGGCGUGGGCGAUGAGGAUGAAGUACCUCUUGCGCGCCAACGGCGCGUGGGCUGCCGUUGAACGCGAGGACUCCUCCAAGGAGGUCGACGCAGGCAAGGAGGAGAUGGCCAUGACGAUCAUCUCCCAGUCGAUCGACAACACGACGCUGCUGCGAGUUACGGAGAAGGAGACCGCCGCCGAUGUGUGGGUGGCGCUUCGCUCCAUGCAUGUGGGCGUCAAGCGCGUCCGAGAGGCGAGGAUUCAGUCCUUGCGCUCGGAGUUUGAUGGCCUCAAGAUGGGUGAUGCGGAGUCCGUGGAUGAUUUCGCGGCGAGGUUCACGACGCUCGUGGGGCGCAUCCGUGAGCUUGGUGAUGCGAUGGAGGAGAAGUACGUCGUGAAGAAACUGCUCCGAGCCGUCUCCAACAAGUUCAUCCAG